Molecule: long non-coding RNA, 1956 nt
Filed under: Homo sapiens (human)
Lineage: Eukaryota; Metazoa; Chordata; Mammalia; Primates; Hominidae
Description: long non-coding RNA NONHSAT149257.1
Source: RNAcentral
UCAACCACUCUUGCUUUGCAUUUGAGAAUUUAAGUCACUUGACCAAAGUCAGACAACAGUGAUUAUAUUACUACAGUGAUUCUGGAGUGUUCUCAACAAAUAAUAACCUCAGAAACAAGUAGGCACUUGGAGACAUUGGGCUGUGGAUUCAGGUUGCCUAGGUUUGAAUCCUAGUCCCAACAUUUACUAAGGCUCUCUGAUAGUGGGCACAUUAUUUAACUUCCUCAGACCUGUUUCCCCAUCUACAAAAUUGGAUUACCUAUGCUCCAAGGUUUGUGAUCUAGAAUUCAACUAAUAAAUUCAGGCAAAUUAUUCCAAUUAUAUUAAGCACUAGUACUCAAAGCUGACAUUUGAGGCUCAAAUGGAGUGUCUUCUUAGCUUUUGUCUCCUGUCAUUUCAGCCCUAAGCCGAAAUCCAAAAAUAAUGGGAAAAUUCUAUGCCCUGAUAUAACACAGAAUUAUAAAGGAAGCUACAAUAUCCCAUACUCCUUGCUUCAUACUCUAGAAUCCAUUUAAAUGAGGUUUAAAAUUGUUCCGGUUGAGUCAUUCCUUCCAGUCAAGGCAUAUUCUAUCUGAAGGACUCAAAUUAAUUAGCUACAGUUAACAGAUUAUUAAGUCAACUGGCUUCUACGGAGAUGGUGGGAGAGGCCAUGUGGGUACACCAUGAGAAGUCUGUCAUCUACAGGAAAGGAAGAGAGCCCUCCCAGGAAACUGACUUUGCCAGACUUUGACCUGGAACGUCUAUUCUCCAGAACUGUCACAAAUGAAGAUUCUGAAAGAGAAGACAGAAUCACUGAGAGAAACUGGGAAGAGGUAAAUAGUGUUACAGAGGAUACUUUACUAGAAAAUGGAUAAAGAAAAGAAAUAACAUGGUCCUUGAGAAGUUGUAAACAUAAAGAACCACAUCCUUUGGAUAUAAUUGGGCUCCUUCUUCAUAGGCUGGGGGUGUAUACAAAGAGGAUAAUGGCAUUAAACCAGCAAGGAAGUGUUGCUCUCCAGGAUAGAAUGUACGAUUAGUAGAUGAGAAACUGAGACUCAUGGAGGCUCAACAUGAAGAUGAUGAAAAUGGAGACCUUCAUCGUGAUCCACUUCUAAUUAAUGAAUAGGAGGCUUGGGCCGAACUGGGUGAUCAGACAUCAUACACAGAGAAGGAGCAAGAGAGAGAUUACACAGAGGAGGAACAAGGUGUGCAGCGGACAGCCAGUGCCAAGACCUCAGACACGUAACAAUUCAUUGAAAUUGGAAUGUAAGAUGAAACUGACAAGCAAUAGUAGCCAGAAUCCUGGAGUGAAUAGACAUGGAGAAGAGCUGCCUUUUCUUCUCAACUGACAAGUCACGUGGGGGAAAUAAAUCCCUUGAGGACAGUGAAGAAAUAACUUUGAGAUCACCUUCCCAUCCUUCCGAUUUCUUCAAUGAGAGCUUAAAUGGAUUUUCAAAAAAUCAGGGAGCUUGGACAAAAAGUUGAAACAAGUUCAUAUCCUAAGCAUGAUGAAUAAGCCAUGGCAGCUUACACAGACUUGAAGGCCAACCACCUAUGGGCUAGCACAAAGGAGUUCAGCCUUUUUUGAAGUGGGUGGUUUGACCUCUCUUUAUUGUGGAAGCAAAGCAAAUGGCCCCAAACCAUCUGGAUCUGCUGUUAUCACUAGAGGAAUUAUUGCCCAGAAUGUGGACCAAAGGUUAGAAGACUCCACAUUGGAAUCCUGGGUCCGCCGUUAAAUAAUGAGGAACAAGCACUACCUCAUAGAGAAAUGGAAACUCCAAAAGAUUAAGCAAGAAGCCCAUAGGAACACAAUUAGUAGAGGACUGAAUAAUAUUUCACUGUCCUGAUGUACCAAGUUUAUCCAUUCACCUACUGAAGGACAUCUUGGUUGUUCUAUGUUUUGGCAAGUAUGAAUAAAGCUGCUAUAAAUGUUUAUAGGCAAUGUUAACACAGAGCUGGUGAUAGCAGGAGACGGAU